Molecule: ribosomal RNA, 429 nt
Filed under: Chloroflexota bacterium
Lineage: Bacteria; Bacillati; Chloroflexota
Description: Chloroflexi bacterium partial 16S ribosomal RNA
Rfam family: Bacterial small subunit ribosomal RNA
Source: RNAcentral
UGGGGAAUAUUGCACAAUGGGCGCAAGCCUGAUGCAGCCAUGCCGCGUGUGUGAAGAAGGCCUUCGGGUUGUAAAGCACUUUCAGCGGGGAGGAAGGCGAUAAGGUUAAUAACCUUGUCGAUUGACGUUACCCGCAGAAGAAGCACCGGCUAACUCCGUGCCAGCAGCCGCGGUAAUACGGAGGGUGCAAGCGUUAAUCGGAAUUACUGGGCGUAAAGCGCACGCAGGCGGUCUGUCAAGUCGGAUGUGAAAUCCCCGGGCUCAACCUGGGAACUGCAUUCGAAACUGGCAGGCUAGAGUCUUGUAGAGGGGGGUAGAAUCCCAGGUGUAGCGGUGAAAUGCGUAGAGAUCUGGAGGAAUACCGGUGGCGAAGGCGGCCCCCUGGACAAAGACUGACGCUCAGGUGCGAAAGCGUGGGGAGCAAACAGG